GACUGGAUCUGAUGUCAAAUUCAUCAUAAUGUGGCUCAGAGAGGAGGGACUCAGUGUUCAUAUGAUCUCGUAUCUGACAGAGACUGAGGUUGAAUCGAUUCAGCUUGACUCUUCUCAGAGUGAACACAUGUACAAUGAAUCUUCAUUCAGCUAUUCUGUUCUGUGCCUCAGCAGCUGCUGUCUUUGGGAAUGUUAUUAAACCAAACAAAACAGAUGUUUUUGCUGAGGAAGGUUCAAAUGUUACAUUAUCCUGUAAUUUCACUGCAUCUGGAGGGAAUGAUUAUCUCCACUGGUACCGUCAGUACGGAAGAUCAAAACCUGAAUUUAUUGUACUCACCUACAGCAAUAAAAAAGAUGCUCGGCAGUCUGAUGUAGAUUCAAGAUUCUCUGUUAAUAUUCCAAAAAGUGAACGUGUGGAUCUGAAGAUCUCCUCUGCUGCUGUAUCUGACUCUGCUCUGUACUACUGUGCUCUGGCGCCCACAGUGACAGGAAACACAAGAACACUGCACAAAAACCUGUUACAAUGAGAGAAAAAUGCAAACAUGAUCAAAACAUGAAAAUAAGAUUCUAAAGUUAGUCAAAAGGCCAGGUUUUUUUUUUUACAGUAUAAAAAUUGUGUGGCAUUAUGAAAUGUGAAUUACAGCAAAUCCAUAUAAUACUGUCCUCUAAUAGACUGGUCACUUUAGAAAAAUUCUACUGUGCAGAAAAUAAAAUACCUCAUUUGCAUGAAGGUGUAUGAGA
This is a non-coding RNA of Carassius auratus (goldfish), 741 nucleotides long. NCBI's taxonomy places the organism in Eukaryota, Metazoa, Chordata, Actinopteri, Cypriniformes, Cyprinidae. The record is from the annotation of a RefSeq genome assembly.